Molecule: long non-coding RNA, 1134 nt
Organism: Musa acuminata AAA Group (dessert banana)
Lineage: Eukaryota; Viridiplantae; Streptophyta; Magnoliopsida; Zingiberales; Musaceae
Exons: 4
Source: RefSeq, a predicted model, not a curated record
GAGUGCGUGUUAACUAUUGCUGUACAUCUGCCCUCCCUGGCGGGUAUUUAUAUAUGCCCCACAAAGGAAGCCUGGAAGAUGACAAGCAGAGCACUGCUGAGCUGGGAUUGCUCCUAUCUUGUGUUGGAGAUGAAAAGUGAGAUUGGAUGAGGGUGCAGCAUGCAUCCUGUGUUUGAUAUGCCAAGCAUCUGAGGGAUCCAUACGUCGCAAUGAGGAAGAACCUGCUCGAUUUAUGCUUGUUAAAAAGGACUGGUACUUCUUUACACUCUGGACAAAGUCACAGAUUAUGUUUGAGAUAUUUUUCAGCAGAAAGCAACCAGACUUGUACCGAACUGUGGCAUCUACAUGAAUUCCAGCUCUGUUCAUGUUUCUCAUGCUGAAGGAACGAGAUUUACAUGUUUCAAUGGCACUCUUCUCCAAGGUUGCAUAACUCAACAUAGCAAUAUAAACACAUGUCAGUGAAGGGUUCUCUUCAUAUUUGCCUUCUCUCAUAUGCUUUUCAGCUGCAUUUACUCCAUGCUCGACAUGGACCAGAAGUGAUGACACCUUUGGUGAUGGACCACUAUAGUCAAGCAACUUGGAGGUGAUUGGGACUGCUCAACUGAAGAGGAACAUGGAGGGUUACCUUACAUCAAUCCAGCUCCAACUCAAGGAAGGAUACAUCACAUACAGGUAACAGUUAUUCUUCUCAAUUCGAUAAAUUGUUGAAGUAUAUAUUGAGUCGUAUUAUUAUUAUUAUUAUUUUACCCUUUAAGUUCUUAAAAUUAGUGGUCACUCAAUUCAAAAUCUUUAAGAUAGUAUUAAAGUAGAUGAUGAAUUCAAAUCUUAUAUUUGUCUCUCUUUCUUAAAGUAAUAUUCAUUCUUCAUUUGGGCUUAUACCACACACUCGGUGGUUUUUAUUCACAUGUCAAGUGGGCUUAGACCGACUUGUUCAUGAGAGGAAAUAAAUGUUAAGGUAUAUAUUAGAUCCCCUUUGGAAAUAGCAGUCAAAUCUUUCAGAUUUAUAAUCAGCAUCUUUUGAUUUUGAAACAUAGGUCCUUAUGAAAAGUCAGAACAUCAUAGAAACAGAGAUGUGUUUGAUCAUGCAAGUCCCCUUCACUUUUUUUAUGUCCGUCCAAUAAUUGGUAUUGUGAA